This 598-nucleotide long non-coding RNA is filed under the name Homo sapiens (human). RNAcentral's name for it is "non-protein coding LINC00882:19". The record is from RNAcentral. Lineage: Eukaryota; Metazoa; Chordata; Mammalia; Primates; Hominidae.
UUUAUAUUAUAUUUCCCACCCCUAAUUGUUCAGUCAAUGACUGACUGACCUCUAUUCAACAGUGAUUAAUCCAACUUGUAUUGAAACAAAUAGUAUCAAUGCAUAAUAUCAAAGGACAAACCUGAUCCCUUAUGUUAAUUUCCCUGAUUCUCUUUAUUGGUUCAACUAAUCUUCUUGGACUUCUAUCCCAUUCAUUUACACCAACUACUCAACUAUCAAUAAACUUAGAAAUAGCAAUUCCUUUGUGAGCUGGAGUAGUAGUCACUGCUUCCGCUUUAAGACUAAAGCUUCUGUAGCCUACUUCCUACCACAAGCACACUGAUUCCACUUAUCCCUAUAUUGGUAAUCAUUGAAACUUAGCCUAUUCAUCCAACCAAUAGCACUAGCUGUACGAUUAACAGCCAACAAUACAGCUGGCCACCUACUAAUGCAUUUAAUUGGAGGAGCUACACUAGUAUUAUCAACUAUUAGCCUACCGACAGCUUCAAUUACAUUUAUUAUUCUAGUUUUACUAACCAUCCUCAAGUUUGCCAUAGCCCUCAUUCAUACCUAUGUCUUUACACUCCUAGUGAGCCUCUACUUACACAGCAACACAUAA